UACGGGGGGGGCAAGCGUUGUUCGGAAUUACUGGGCGUAAAGGGCGCGUAGGCGGUCGAACAAGUCAGCUGUGAAAACCACGGGCUUAACUCGUGGCCUGCAGUUGAAACUGUUUGGCUAGAGUGUGGGAGAGGAGAGUGGAAUUCCUGGUGUAGCGGUGAAAUGCGUAGAUAUCAGGAGGAACACCGGUGGCGAAGGCGGCUCUCUGGACCACAACUGACGCUGAGGCGCGAAAGCCAGGGGAGCAAACAGGAUUAGAUACCCUGGUAGUCCUGGCCGUAAACGAUGGAUACUUGGUGUAGGGGGUGUUAAAUCCCCCUGUGCCGGAGCUAACGCGUUAAGUAUCCCGCCUGGGGAGUACGGUCGCAAGGCUGAA
Molecule: ribosomal RNA, 376 nt
Filed under: uncultured bacterium
Lineage: Bacteria
Description: bacterial SSU rRNA
Rfam family: Bacterial small subunit ribosomal RNA
Source: RNAcentral